Molecule: long non-coding RNA, 1187 nt
Filed under: Cyanistes caeruleus (blue tit)
Lineage: Eukaryota; Metazoa; Chordata; Aves; Passeriformes; Paridae
Description: lncRNA (ENSCCEG00000009781.1)
Source: RNAcentral
CAAUAUUCUAAACAAAAAAAAGAAGGUUUACAUGAGGGCUGUUUUAUGGAAAGGAGUCAGGAGAGUUAGAUAGCUCCUUGGAGGUCCAGUAAAAGACAGAAAGUCACCCAGCUGAAAGGAACAGCCUAACCUUGGCACUUGAAUUCUCCUUAUGUAAUUCGGUGCUGAGAACUUAAAAAUGAUGGCCUUUAUGAGCCUCGCUACUUAGCACAUAGUUUAGCUCAAGCAGGCUCCAUUCCACCACUAAAUUAGACAUGAAAGGGAUACAAGAUUCAGAAGUGCAAUGGCUUUGUCCUUUUAGUCUAGAUGCCUCCAGUUUUUCCCAAGGAGCAAUAGCUGGAAUAUCUCUAUGACACUAUCUAGGUCUUAUUUGAGUACCUUAUGGUACAGAAGGGAGGAGAAUAAGAAGAAAAAAGAAUCACAUAUCAGUCAUCAGAGUAGUAAAUGUCAUUUUUAUAAUUGAUCUAAAUUUCAUACAUUGGUAUUUAUUACCAGAAACUUCUAUAUAUGGAGGCAGCUGUUAUUUCCUUUAAUGGGCUUAUUUUACUCCUCUGCCCACAUACUUCCUUUGCUUCAAGCAUGCCUUCCUGGCAACAUUGAUUAUGAAUCAUUUUACUUCUGACAACUGUUCUGAGUACAGCUUUUAGAAAGCCAUGAAAUCCUUCCUUCCCCAAGGUGUUUUAGGUACCAAAAAAAGUGCUAAUAAUAUAAAAAUUAAUGUUUUUAACAGUCUUGUCUACAGUGAAGAAAGAGAAACUGGUUCAUAUUGUUACCAAGGCAAAGCUAUUUUUGUUCAGUGCUGUUCACUACGAGGUGUCCCUCAGCCAUGAGACGUCAAUUCUGAUCUUACUGAAGGCCGGAACCAAUUGGUUUUAUGUCUUCAGUGUUUCCUCAGCUGCCUUUAAUGCAUGGGCCAUUAAUGCACUGCGGAUACACAGCCAACAUUCAUCCGCUCACUCAGCCAGACAUCUGGAGCUCAGUGGCAUUUGACCUCUUCUUCACUCUGGACCAGGCAGCGUGGGCAGGUUUCAUUACACUCCCUGGUGCCUUUAUGUUGCCACACAGAUGGACACUCCAGACCCUGACGUGGAUACCUCACUCCUGCCUUGGCUCCAGAUGUUUUCUUCAGACUGUGUAUGUAAGUAAAGGAAUCAACAGCUAAUUUCAUGAAGGGAGGAAGGGAGGGG